Molecule: non-coding RNA, 73 nt
Organism: Potamilus streckersoni
Lineage: Eukaryota; Metazoa; Mollusca; Bivalvia; Unionida; Unionidae
Source: the annotation of a GenBank genome assembly
AUUCAGGUGGCCUAGGGGUUAUAGCAUCCACCUUGGAUGUGGGAGGUCGUGGGUUUGAAACCCAUCCGAGACA